AGCGAUGCCUUAAAAUACCUUUAAAGAUAAAAAAUCAGGAUUGUCGUGUAUUUUCUAUGGACAAUUUUUACAUUCCUUGGUCCAGUUUUUAAUGUUAAUAUUUAGGGCUAAAUAUUUCAAGGAAGUUUUUGUAUGGUAUUUCCAAGGUAAAUAAAUGGUAAAUAUUUUACAUAAUAAAAAAAUAUAUAUGUAUAAUUUAUUCAAUUAUUAUCUAAUUGACUUUAUUAAUAUAUUUCUUAAAAUAUUUGAUUUUAGAUUUAUAAAGUCACUUGACGCAACAAGUGCCAAAAUGAUUUGCAUAACAUUUUUUUGUUUGAAUUAUUCAAUUAAUUCAAAUAUUAUGACAGAAAAUAGCAAAAAAAGAAAAAAAACAACAAACACAUGCGGGAGUUGUAGCACAUGAAAAUUUUCAUUAGCUCUGCUGUGCUACCGCUCCCAAUUUUUUGCUACCGCUACGCCAGAGCAUAGCGCAGAAUUUAAUUUUUUGCUCCCGCUCCAGCUAUAGUUUUUUACCUAACAAAACUCGGAGCAGAGUAGAGCACUUCUUUUACAUUGUUAUGCUAAGGCUAUGCUGUGGCUCCCGACAAAGAGAGAGCGGUAGCAAGAGUAAAAUGAAAUGCUAUGGGAGUAGCCAAGAAUGAUAGAAUACGAGAUUACGACACUAGUUCACCGUUAGUUUUUUUCGGUUUAGCUCUUGACAAUUCUACAAAAACAAAUACAUUGUGCAACAAUUUCGUGACGUCACACUUGUGCGUUGAGAAGAACAAGCAUAGAAAUGCAUACAAAUUGAAAAAUUUCAGUGGAAUGUUUAGAAUAUUGUUGCGAGAAAAGAUAUAUGUAAGUAGUUUUAGGCACAUCCACAAUAAAUAGAGUAGCAUGUGUGGAAAUUGUUCAAAUGAAGAAAACCAGUGAAAGUGUACUGUUGUAUUUAUUUAAAUUUCUAAGCAUAAAUAUAUUAAUUUUCUAAAAUGAAA
This is a long non-coding RNA of Bactrocera dorsalis (oriental fruit fly), 974 nucleotides long. RefSeq lists it as uncharacterized. The transcript has 2 exons. Lineage: Eukaryota; Metazoa; Arthropoda; Insecta; Diptera; Tephritidae. The record is from RefSeq and is a predicted model, not a curated record.